AUCAUAUAUCAAGAGAGGAGAAUUUGUUUCCUACCUCGUUUUGACUGUGUCGGAUCGUGGGCAGCACGCAGUUUGUUACUUUCUUGAGAUGCGUUUUCUUGUUUCUCGGAGCAAGUACGGAGUUAGCAAAUGCACGAGUGCUACGAUGCACGCGUGCGCUGAGCCAAGUCCUCCUCCUACCCGGUUUGUGUCGUCGAACACUGCAUAGAAAAACGAAACUCGAUGGAGACCGUUUGUGGAAAUCCCGAAAAUAUAGUAUUUCGCACGUUGAACGGCGCUGUUGACGUCGGUGCGUUGGAAACGGAGAUUAAAACGGUUUCUUUUCGAUCGAUUCUGUUUUUCUUUUGGCGUGGAUGUUGUUCGAAAGACCUUGGGACGGAUGAUGGACGGAGUUGGUUGGCUCGUUGGAACGCGGCGUCUGCAUUAAAUCUUGUGGCGUUGAUUUGCACACACUUCUUGCUGGGGAGAGAACGAGAAAAAAAACGCUUCUGGGAGGAAAGUGAUUUUGCGUCUUAGCCUUCCGUCAGUCUAAGACCUUCGCGUCCCCGAUGAAUACUGGAGCCAUCCAGUAGGGGUAUGCCGUUGGAUUGCACUCUUUCUUUUUUGUCGAAUCGAGAGCGAUGCAAAGCGUGUGUACAACUCAUUCUCCGCCAUCCUUUUUUUCUAAGGGUAAGGAGGCGAAGUUUGUUGGAAAGCGCAAAAAGAAGAUUGAUUG
RNAcentral lists this unclassified non-coding RNA (715 nucleotides) under Ixodes pacificus (western blacklegged tick). The record is from RNAcentral. Lineage: Eukaryota; Metazoa; Arthropoda; Arachnida; Ixodida; Ixodidae.